RNAcentral lists this transfer RNA (75 nucleotides) under Entomoscelis adonidis. Its description in RNAcentral is "tRNA-Ile". The record is from RNAcentral. Lineage: Eukaryota; Metazoa; Arthropoda; Insecta; Coleoptera; Chrysomelidae.
UGUAAGGUGCCUGAUUAAAGGAUAAUUUUGAUAGAAUUAAUCAAGUGUGACCCCCCCCUGCGUGCACCCUUGCAA